This 1139-nucleotide ribosomal RNA is filed under the name Bacillus sp. A-21. Its description in RNAcentral is "bacterial SSU rRNA". It matches the Rfam family "Bacterial small subunit ribosomal RNA", at positions 37 to 1172 of the family's 1533-position model. Lineage: Bacteria; Bacillati; Bacillota; Bacilli; Caryophanales; Bacillaceae. The record is from RNAcentral.
UGGGAAUUGCGGCUGCUAUACAUGCAAGUCGAGCGGACUGAUGGGAGCUUGCUCCCAUCAGUCAGCGGCGGACGGGUGAGUAACACGUGGGUAACCUGCCUGUAAGACUGGGAUAACUCCGGGAAACCGGGGCUAAUACCGGAUAACUCAUUUCCUCGCAUGAGGAAAUGUUGAAAGAUGGCUUCUUGCUAUCACUUACAGAUGGACCCGCGGCGCAUUAGCUAGUUGGUGAGGUAACGGCUCACCAAGGCGACAAUGCGUAGCCAACCUGAGAGGGUGAUCGGCCACACUGGGACUGAAACACGGCCCAAACUCCUACGGGAGGCAGCAGUAGGGAAUCUUCCGCAAUGGACGAAAGUCUGACGGAGCAACGCCGCGUGAGUGAUGAAGGUUUUCGGAUCGUAAAACUCUGUUGUUAGGGAAGAACAAGUACCGUUCGAAUAGGGCGGUACCUUGACGGUACCUAACCAGAAAGCCACGGCUAACUACGUGCCAGCAGCCGCGGUAAUACGUAGGUGGCAAGCGUUGUCCGGAAUUAUUGGGCGUAAAGCGCGCGCAGGUGGUUUCUUAAGUCUGAUGUGAAAGCCCACGGCUCAACCGUGGAGGGUCAUUGGAAACUGGGGAACUUGAGUGCAGAAAAGGAAAGUGGAAUUCCAAGUGUAGCGGUGAAAUGCGUAGAUAUUUGGAGGAACACCAGUGGCGAAGGCGACUUUCUGGUCUGUAACUGACACUGAGGCGCGAAAGCGUGGGGAGCAAACAGGAUUAGAUACCCUGGUAGUCCACGCCGUAAACGAUGAGUGCUAAGUGUUAGAGGGUUUCCGCCCUUUAGUGCUGCAGCUAACGCAUUAAGCACUCCGCCUGGGGGAGUACGGUCGCAAGACUGAAACUCAAAGGAAUUGACGGGGGCCCGCACAAGCGGUGGAGCAUGUGGUUUAUUCGAAGCACGCGAAGAACCUUACCAGGGUCUUGAAAUCCUCUGACACCCUAGGGAUAGGGCUUUCCCUUCGGGGACAGAGUGACAGUUGAUGCAUGUUGUCGUCAGCUCGUGUCUGGAAUGUGGUAGUCCGCACGAGCGCACCCUUGAUCUAGUGCAGCAUCAGUGGCACUCUAAGAUGACUGCGGUGACAAAACCGAGAGUG